CCAGUUUCCAGUGGUAGAAGGCAGCUCUCAUCAACAGCAUGAGUGUGAACAAGCACAGCGGGAGCUGGACCUUAAUGUCCAUGCAUAAGAGGAAGGGAGUACUUUUGCAGCAACUCUUUAAAGAAAAAUAGAGAAGGCAUAUGAGCUUUGCUAACAACAUUUUGAGAUUUCAGAUAAUUUUAUAUGCAGUUUGUACUGACCAGUAGUACUGACUCUAUGAACGUAUUACUCAAAUUUCAAAGUAGUCAGUUUAAAAGUCCAGAAUUUAAACUAGAAAGAUUAGCAAAACUGGCAGCUAGUCAAGAUUAAGGCAAAUCAUAGUCUCAGCUCUUCAGGGAAUCAUGAACUUCAUAUAAUGGUGGUAGAGUAUCCACUUUCAACAACAAAAUACUGUACUUCUAUACAGGAUAUCUGAAAAAGCUUCUCACUACUGCAGAUAAAUUGCCUUGGGCAUGAAGAAGGCUUAAUAUUUUUUCUUUGUACUCUUAAGUUAUUUUUUUGAAUUUAAUGAAGAAAUUGGUUCUUCAGAAACUUAUCACAUGUUUUUUAUGUGUCUCUCCAAGACUCCAAGGUGGAACACUCUCAAAGGACCUUCUAAGCUCCACGUCUUUCUCAUGCUGGGAGCACCAGGCCCAGAUGCAGUACCCAGAUGGGACCUCAUAAUGCAGAGAAGAGGGCUACAAUCACCUCCCUCUCCCUGCUGGCCACCCUUGUGAUGCAACCCAG
This is a long non-coding RNA of Gallus gallus (chicken), 726 nucleotides long. The record is from Ensembl. NCBI's taxonomy places the organism in Eukaryota, Metazoa, Chordata, Aves, Galliformes, Phasianidae.